UUUGCCAUCAUUGAGUUGGGCACUCUAAAGGAACCGGCUCCGGUUAACGGGGGAGGAAGGUGGGGAUGACGUCAAGUCCUCAUGGCCUUUAUGCCCAGGGCUACACACGUGCUACAAUGGCCAGUACAAAGGGCUGCGAAUCCGCAGGGUAAGCAAAUCCCAAAAACCUGGUCUCAGUUCGGAUUGGAGUCUGCAACUCGACUCCAUGAAGUCGGAAUCGCUAGUAAUCGCAGAUCAGCGUGCUGCGGUGAAUACGUUCCCGGGCCUU
Molecule: ribosomal RNA, 268 nt
Filed under: uncultured delta proteobacterium
Lineage: Bacteria; Deltaproteobacteria
Description: partial 16S ribosomal RNA
Rfam family: Bacterial small subunit ribosomal RNA
Source: RNAcentral